GAUCAUGGCUCAGAUUGAACGCUGGCGGCAGGCCUAACACAUGCAAGUCGAACGGUAACAGGAAGCAGCUUGCUGCUUUGCUGACGAGUGGCGGACGGGUGAGUAAUGUCUGGGAAACUGCCUGAUGGAGGGGGAUAACUACUGGAAACGGUAGCUAAUACCGCAUAACGUCGCAAGACCAAAGAGGGGGGACCUUCGGGUCCGUCCUUGCCAUCGGAUGUGCCCACGAUGGGAUUAG
This 238-nucleotide ribosomal RNA is filed under the name uncultured bacterium. Its description in RNAcentral is "partial 16S ribosomal RNA". It matches the Rfam family "Bacterial small subunit ribosomal RNA", at positions 15 to 244 of the family's 1533-position model. The record is from RNAcentral.